Molecule: ribosomal RNA, 322 nt
Filed under: uncultured Pseudomonadota bacterium
Lineage: Bacteria; Pseudomonadati; Pseudomonadota
Description: bacterial SSU rRNA
Rfam family: Bacterial small subunit ribosomal RNA
Source: RNAcentral
AUUGAACGCUGGCGGCAUGCCUUACACAUGCAAGUCGAACGGCAGCACGGGGGCAACCCUGGUGGCGAGUGGCGAACGGGUGAGUAACGCAUCGGAAUGUACCCAGUAGUGGGGGAUAACUAGUCGAAAGACUGGCUAAUACCGCAUACGCACUACGGUGGAAAGCGGGGGAUCGCAAGACCUCGCGCUAUUGGAGCAGCCGAUGUCCGAUUAGGUAGUUGGUGGGGUAAAAGCCUACCAAGCCUGCGAUCGGUAGCUGGUCUGAGAGGACGACCAGGCCACACUGGGACUGAGACACGGCCCAGACUCCUACGGGAGGCAG